AAGGAGGAAAAGGAGCCAUGGAUGGCUUUGUACAUUAAUCUGAGUCCACAAGAGAUGCUUGGAGUCCCGGCGUACCAGCCCAACAGCCCUGGGAAAAAGAGGAAGCCAGGACCCACUUUCGAUCCCUGUCCUGGUAUUUGCGGAUGUUAUAAGGAGGAAAAAGUGUCAUGAUGGCUUAUAUAUGAAUCUGAGUCCGCGAGAGCUUCUUGGAGUCCUUUCACACCAGCUCAACGGCCCUGGGAAAGAGAGGAAGCCGGACAUACAAGAACUGGGGUACAGGCCAGAUGCGCAGAGCAUGAGAGGAUUCACCAGAGACAGAGCGAGGAACAGAACAGGCAGACUGAUGAAAUACACUGCUGAGGGGAGCAGCGGCGAGACAGGGGAGGUCUGCCGCGCCAUGUGGGACCCUCACUGGCCAGCCGGGAUCAAACCAGUGCUGCAGAGGCUGGGGACAGCUUAACAGCACUGCA
Talpa occidentalis (Iberian mole) is the source of this 470-nucleotide long non-coding RNA. RefSeq lists it as uncharacterized. The record is from RefSeq and is a predicted model, not a curated record. NCBI's taxonomy places the organism in Eukaryota, Metazoa, Chordata, Mammalia, Eulipotyphla, Talpidae. The transcript has 3 exons.